RNAcentral lists this non-coding RNA (20 nucleotides) under Arabidopsis thaliana (thale cress). The record is from RNAcentral. Lineage: Eukaryota; Viridiplantae; Streptophyta; Magnoliopsida; Brassicales; Brassicaceae.
GCAAUGGUGAUCUCUCUUAU